RNAcentral lists this long non-coding RNA (4048 nucleotides) under Sus scrofa (pig). Its description in RNAcentral is "lncRNA (ENSSSCG00050023451.1)". Lineage: Eukaryota; Metazoa; Chordata; Mammalia; Artiodactyla; Suidae. The record is from RNAcentral.
CGAUAUCUCUGUGAAGAUGUGGGUCUUGAUCCCUGGCCUCACUGAGUGGGUUACGGAUCUGACCUUGCUGUGAGCUGCAGUGUAGGUCACAGGUGUGGCUCUGAUCUGGUGUGGCUGUGGCUGUGGCAUAAGUCAGCAGCUGCUGCUCUAAUUCGACUACUGGCCUGGGAAAUUCCAUAUGUCACAAACACGGCCAUAAAGAGGAAAAAACAAAAAACAAAACCGAAUCUGAUUUACUACUCUUUUAACUCAUCUCUUUUCCCUUCCUUAGUCAAAAUUUGGUUUCAAUCAUAGAAACUCUUGGAGUUCCCUGGUGGCCCGGUAGGUUAAAGAAGAAAGCAAGCAAACAAACAAAGAAAUAGGGAAAUUCUUUGUAUCCUAAGAUAGUUAAUCUUAGGAAAUAACUCAUGGGAUAAAAUGAAAUUUAGCAGUUCAUGAAUUGAGGGUUGUCUCAAUCUAAUCAAUUACAGUGCUCAUUUUUGCCAUUAAUCUUUACUGUGUCUCUGCUUCCUUUCCUGUAGAAGUGGAUAGUGUCAGUAUUGUUAGGGAACUAAACAAGUGGUGCCAAGACAGAUUAGAAAAACUUUAAAAACUGGUCAUUUGCUAUUCAUCUACUCACCUGAUUAUCUAUAAACAAAUGACUUUGAAAAGAUUUGGAAUUUUACUAUGUGUUCCAAACAAUGCAGUGGUUUUUGCAAGAUAGGUUGGGAAUGGGUCAUGCCAGAAAAAAAAAGAAAAAACAACAACAGGUUUUAACAAUUAGUCAUGAGAUUUUAGUUACAACCAAACACUUUGUUAUUCCUAUGAGUAACAAUGGAAGAUAAAAUAAGCCUGUUUUCCUUCUUUUCUCCAAUAUUUGCCAAUGAAUUAAAAUAUAACAAACAAAAAUUUAAAAUAAUUCUGUGUGUCAUUUAUUACUUAUCACUUUAGUUCAAGAAUAGUGAAGUUGCUGCUGGUACUGCUGACCAAACCCUGCUUGCUAAAUAAUAGCGGGUAGUCAAAAACAGAUGGGACCAGUUUAGGCUGUGGCCUGGGUUUUAGCCACCUCUUUCAACACCCAGUUGCCUAAUAUCAUUAUGUGAAGCUAAUCUGGUAACCAGUUAGAGGGGGCAUUACAUCAGGCUGACUCAUCAGUUACCAGGGAAACUAGCAGAGGGGCAACGUGCCCUCACCCCUCUGCUAAAAACAGUCACUAGCCGGGACCUGGGGCAAGCGUGUAGGAAGGUCAGUCCUGUGAGUAAAGGUGUAGAUUGAACACUAGGUGUGCAGAGAGCAAGAGAACAGCCACCUCGAGUGGCCUGACCGUGCACUUCUCCACAACCAAAGCACCAGACAGAGACAAGUUAGGAAGUCACUGAAGUGCCCUUAUGUAUAUUCCAAACAUGUACAUCUCCCAGGCUUUGCGUCCGUCCUCUCUGAAAGCCCUUACAGUCUUUGCGAGGAGAGAGCAGAAGAGAAUGGGGAAAAGGAGUGAGAGGCAAGGGCCUGCCUUCAGUAUCUGGUGGUGUAUUAUCCUCAGCUCACCACGAGAACGCCGCACAAUGAGGCUCCUAUUAGGAAUGGGAACAAGUACCUAUUGUUUAGAACCAAACAGCUCUAAGUGUCUCUUCUAGAGAUAAUUAAUUUAAUUAAAAUGAUCCCUGAAGCCAAACCAAGCUUCAUAUUGAGCACUGCACACAUUCCUUCCAAAUGCCAGCACAGGGCUAUUCAGAAUGAGCAAGGCGUCAGCCAUGGAGCUCAGCAGACGCGCUGGGCCUGGUGAAAAGGCCCACAGACAGGCCUCUCCACUUCCCUUGGAAUGGAGGCCCCAGGUCAGGGGCUAAGGCAGGGGGCUCUUCCUGGGCCGAGUGGAGGGCUGUUAGGUCUGAUGCAGUUAAAGAAAAGAUCGUCUUUCAUCUGUGAAUUUAGUUCCAAAAUCACGGGGACAUUUUUUUCCCCUAGUGGUUCAAGAGAGAAAUUUGGCUUAUUGGCUGUAUCCAGAUCAACAGUCCCCACACAGUGUAGCCUUAGUAUGCUGGUGCUCAAUAACCAUAUGCUGAAGGAAUGAAGGGGUAAAUGAGUGAAAACCAACCUCCUUGGCUGGCUUUUCAGCCUGUUUCCUGUAAAAAUGAAUAGCAUCUGAUCUUCAAUUCAAAUGAAACCAAAAAUACCUCUACUCAAACCCAACCUAAAGCCAGAUUGGGACUUGAACCCACAUUAUUUAAAAUUAGAACCACUCACCUGGUGUCUGGACUUAAUGAGGUUCAGGUUCUUUGUCUCAGUGCAGAAGGAAUUCAGCGAGAGACAAAGUGAAAGGCAAGAAAUAGAUUUAUUAACAUAGGACACUUGUGAGAGAUGGAGGUGGGCAGGCCAAGAAGCUCUGGCCUGAGAAUUAGGGGGGCUACAUUUUUAUAAUCCAAGGAAAGUGGAGUGUGAGAGAAGACUGCCUUCUUCCUCAUUCUUCCAGUAAACUUAAGGCUUAUAUCAUUAGCUCCUUCUUUGUAUCCAAUAAGAGUGUAUUUGACCCUAUGAGGUUAAACUAGGACUGUCAUGAUGCUUGUUCAAGUCAGCAGAAGAGCAGUAACACAUGCUAAAAUAUGUUGAAUCAUCUCACAUUUCUGUAUAAUGGGGGUCUCCUACUUUGGAAUUUCAUCUUUCCCUUAAAUUCCUGUCCUUGAUCCUAAGGAUCAUUAUUCAGCUGAACGCGAAUCCAGGCCUCAUUUUGUCUUUCACUUAAAGCAUAGCUCCUGCUUUUAUUUAUGGUUUUAUAGUUAAGCAAGCCUGCCUUGUUCCAAGAUGUUCUGAUGGCUUUCUUGAGUGAUUAUUAACAUACAGUGGUCUCCCCAAAUUUCCUAGUUUCCCUCUCUAUCUAUGGUCUCUUACUGGGACUUCCAGAACUACAACUACCUGUGUAGCUAUCCUACUCGAUCCCUAUCGAAAACUCCCAAACUGUCAUGUGCCCCCAUGGAACAUAAUAAGAUGCUGUGUCACUGGAUGGUGAUAUAUUUGUGGUGGAUGUAAUUCAGCGUUUGGGACGUCGUUGUCAUCUAGCUAGGGUAAGGGAAUGGGAGGCAAACAAGAACCAUAAACAUAUUAAAAUAAACCUGUGAUAUGUUAGAAGUUCUUUGUGCUAAGAGAAGAAGAGUAAUGCAGGGUAAGAGUUCCCAAGGUUGAAUUGGGGGAUGGGAGAGGGUGAAAGUGGGCUUGCAGUUUUAUCGAGGGGAGACGAGGGGAGACAAGGUGGGCCUCUUUGGGAAGGUGAUGCUUGAGGUUGAUGAGAAAGUAAGCCAUGUGUGUACCUAGAAACAAUCCUAGGCAAAGGGUAACCAGUACAAAAGGCCAGAGGCAGGAGUAUACCAGGCAUAUUUGAAAGCAAAGAACAAAGGAGCCAGUGUGGCUUGGAGAGGAAGAAGUAACUGCGUCUAGGUGGAGGCACAGGGAAUUCGAAGGCAACUGGCAGAGAGGCAGAGAACAUGGGUGCAGCUCCUGCUGGUAGGUGGGUAGCUUGGUUGUGGGAGUCUGUGGAAGUUUUCUUCUGGUAUUCUCAAAUGUCUUAGAGAUGAAGGAAGCAGAGUAAUCAGCUGAGACGAAGGGUAUGAACUUGCCCUCUAGGAGAACAGGAGAGUGAAUGGACCGGGGGUGGGGGUGGGGGGAAUAUAUGAAUGCCAGGCAGCAUUGUGGGUCCACUUAAUGGUUAAUGAUCACAAACUCAAAAUGAGGCCAGUCAGCACAGUUGAGUCUCUCCCCAGACAUAUUCAACUGUUCUGGUACAAAGAGUUGGUUUUGCUGAUAACCAAGAAUGACAAAGCUAGAAAGGGGCAAGGGACUUCAAGGGUUCUGAAGUAAUUACAACAUGAUGGUUGACCAGAGAAUUUAAGCUGAAUAAGGAGAGAAGAUAGGACCUCAAGUAAAAAGAGGGAAGGACCAAAUGGAUUAGAAAUCCCCAGGGGGAGUUCCCAUCACGGCUUACGGAAAUGAAUCUGAUUAGCAUCCAUGAAGAUGCAUGUUCGAUCCCUGGCUUCGCUCAGUGUGUUAAGGAGCUGGCGUUGCUGUGAGCUGUGGUGUAGGU